This 618-nucleotide ribosomal RNA is filed under the name Candidatus Falkowbacteria bacterium CG_4_9_14_3_um_filter_38_19. RNAcentral describes it as "bacterial SSU rRNA". It matches the Rfam family "Bacterial small subunit ribosomal RNA", at positions 895 to 1533 of the family's 1533-position model. Lineage: Bacteria; Candidatus Falkowiibacteriota. The record is from RNAcentral.
UAAAACUCAAAGGAAUAGACGGGGACCCGCACAAGCGGUGGAGCAUGUGGUUCAAUUCGACAAUAAACGAGGAACCUCACCAAGGUUUGACAUCUAGCUGCAGACCCCGAGAAAUCGGGGAGCCUUCGAGGGUGCUAGACAGAUGCUGCAUGGUUGUCGUCAGCUCGUGUUGUGAAAUGUACCGUUAAUUCGGGAAACGAGCGCAACCCCUAUCCUAUGUUUCAUGUGUCAUAGGAAACUGCCCGCUUUAAGUGGGAGGAAGGUGGGGAUGACGUCAAAUCAGCAUGGUUCUUAUAUCUUGGGCGACACACGUGCUACAAUGGGAAGUACAAAGGGACGCCAAGCCGUAAGGUGGAGCAAAUCCUCCAAAACUUUUCUCAGUUCGGAUUGAGGUCUGCAACUCGACCUCAUGAAGCCGGAAUCGCUAGUAAACGCGGAUCAGCUAUGCCGCGUUGAAUACGUUCUCGGGUCUUGUACUCACCGCCCGUCACACCAAGAGAGCCGAUAAUGCCCGAAGCGCCUCCUUAGAGGCACAAAGGCAGGAUUGGUAAUAAGGGUGAAGUCGUAACAAGGCAUCCGUAGCGGAAGCUGUGGAUGGAUCACCUCCUUUCUAGGGAG